GAACGGGUGCGUAACACGUGGAUAACCUUCCUUCAGGUGGGGAAUAACCCAGUGAAAACUGGGCUAAUACCGCAUAACAUGACGAUGGCACAUGCUGUUGUCUUCAAAGGCGCAAGUCGCCAGAAGAGGGAUCCGCGGCCGAUUAGCUUGUUGGCGAGGUAAUGGCUCACCAAGGCAUUGAUCGGUAGCCGGACUGAGAGGUUGGCCGGCCACACUGGAACUGAGACACGGUCCAGACUCCUACGGGAGGCAGCAGUGGGGAAUCUUGCACAAUGGACGAAAGUCUGAUGCAGCAACGCCGCGUGGGGGAUGAAGCCUCUCGGAGUGUAAACCCCUUUCGACCCGGAAGAAUGCCCGCAAGGGUUUGACGGUACGGGUAUAAGAAGCCCCGGCUAACUACGUGCCAGCAGCCGCGGUAAUACGUAGGGGGCCAGCGUUGCUCGGAAUUACUGGGCGUAAAGGGUCUGUAGGCGGUGCGGCAAGUCGAUAGUGAAAUCCCUAGGCUUAACCUAGGGGCUGCUAGCGAAACUGCCGUGCUAGAGUGUGAGAGAGGCGAGUGGAAUUACGGGUGUAGCGGUGAAAUGCGUAGAUUCCGUAGGAACAUCCCGAG
RNAcentral lists this ribosomal RNA (610 nucleotides) under uncultured bacterium. RNAcentral describes it as "bacterial SSU rRNA". It matches the Rfam family "Bacterial small subunit ribosomal RNA", at positions 100 to 715 of the family's 1533-position model. The record is from RNAcentral.